This 13249-nucleotide long non-coding RNA is filed under the name Mytilus galloprovincialis (Mediterranean mussel). Lineage: Eukaryota; Metazoa; Mollusca; Bivalvia; Mytilida; Mytilidae. The record is from RNAcentral.
GGGCUUGUUUUAAGUUGGUCUAAAUCAAGGUGAAAAAUAAAAUUUUGUUUGAUUUAAAAAAAAAAUGAAUAUACUGGUUUCUUUGAUAUGCGGAAAAUAACAGUGUAUACAGAUUAUAGAAUUGUGGGCCCCAUUAUCAAAUUGGUCCACAUAUAAGGUUUCAUAAUAAAACUUUGUUUGAUUUCAUCAAAAAUUGAACUCCUUGGUUUUUUUUAAUAUGUUGAAUCUAACAAUAGAUUCUAGAUAUAGAACCAUAAUAGUUUUACAUCCAAAUUAUAAUAUUUAAAUUCUUAGACAACAUUCAUUCUGUGUCAAAUAUUUAAUCAUAAUCCUAUCAAGCUUGAAUGAUCUGUUAAUACAUUUGAUUAAUAGGAACUAUGUACAAAAAACUACAGUCCAUCAGAUUGUCCUUUUCUGAAUUGUAUGCCGACAGGUGAGACAUAUCUCUGUUGGCUUUUUUUGUACACACUAAUUAUUUUUUCAAUUUAUUUCAAUUUUUUUGCCCCACCUACGAUAGUAGAGGGGCAUUAUGUUUUCUGGUCUGUGCGUCCAUCUGUUUGUUCGUCUGUUCGUUCGUCUGUUGGUCCGUCCGUCUGGUUUAAGCUUUUGGUCAAGGUAGUUUUUGAUGAAGCUGAAGUCCAAUCAACUUGAAACUUAGUACACAUGUUGCUUAUGAUAUGAUCUUUCUAAUUUUAAAGCCAAAAUAGACUUUUCAACCCAAUUUCACGGUCCACUUGAACAUAGAAAAUGAAAGUGUGAGUUUCAGGUUAAAGGUUUUGGUCAAGGUAGUUUUUGAUGAAGUUGAAGUCAAUCAACUUGAAACUUAGUACACAUGUUCCCUAGGGUAUGAUCUUUCUAAUUUUAAUGCCAAAUUAGAUUUUUUUACCAAAUUUCACGGUCCAUUGAACAUUGAAAAUGAUAGUGCAAGUGGGGCAUCCGUGUACUUUGGACACAUUCUUGUUUACAAUAUUUCAUGAUGAAUGGAAAUUAUUAUUUAUUAGAUGCAUUGAUGGCUGAAGGUUUACUGUAAAACUAUGACAGUUUUUCAUUAUUGGUGAAGUUAAGAAUGUUUUAAUGUUUUCUAGUCACUUUAUACCAUUAUAUUUGCAAUCCAUGAAUAAACCAGAUUUUAGGACUAUGUAUCAAAUAUGUGUUUAAUAAGUGCAUAUUAUAUUUCUAUUAAAAGAAGUAAAUUCUUAAAGUUUUUUUUUAUCUCAAACUUAAUUUUACUUUUAGUACACAGUGUUUAUUUAGGUGUUUUGGUGUAAAGCAUAAGAAUACAGGUAAUCUAUGUUCUAUCAUUGUUGACACAGAGAAACAUGAUUUUAAGGCUUUCAUAUUCAAACAAUUGUAAAAAAAAUAUUACAAUACAUUCUAAUAUGACGGCCUAUUAUUGUCAACCAGUAUAAUUGCAAUAUAUCUACAUUUAGCACAAAAGCAGUAAUACGCAAAAACGGCUGUUCCACCGUACGACCUAUUUGUACUGCCAAAUAUUCUCAAUUUUUCAACAUCAAAACCCUCAGUUUAACGUAGGCAAAGAUUCAGAUACCAUAUAUUUAUCUCUAUUCUACAGCCAAAAUAAACAAAUCAUUCCAUUUCAAUUUAUUUUUCAUGGUAAAAUUUCAUAAAACGAAAAUUCUGCGAAAUGAUGUUAUUGUCUUGGCAUGGCAACGAAACAAGGUGACGUCACAAGUAUGUUUCCGUAAACAAAAAAUCAAAUGUAAAUAUCGAGAGUUUUAAAGCUUCUUGUUUGCCUCAGAACGAAUAAAAUUACAUUGGAAGAAAAUAUAGAAGUGAAAAAUGUGAUUAAAAAAAAAUCAUUUAAUUAUAUGAUACUACUAAUAUUAUCAAAAUUGGGUAAAAUGGAACAGCCAAAACAGUAUCGUAUGUAUAGGGCUUUCACGGUUAACAAAAUUACCAAAUUUUACCUAUUAGAAUCGAAAUAAUUCAUGGCAGCCAUAGAUUUGUUUUCAUUUAACCAUGGGUUGGGCAUUUAUAUUCUUAUUUUACCCCUUGCUAAAGAUCAGGGUAAAAUAAUCUAAUAUAAAUGCCCAACCCAUGGUUAAAGGAAAACAAAUCUACAGCUGCCAUGAAUUAUUUCUUAAUUAUAAAUGUUAUAUAAAACUGAGAAUGGAAAUGGGGGACAUAUGUCAAACAGACAACAAUCCAAUUAAAGAGCAGAAAACAGCUCAAGGAGCUCAAUGGGUCAACAUAGCAAGAAAAUCCUGCUGUGUUGGAGGCACUACUAAAUUAAAUUAAGAAAUGAUUUGCCAUGCUCUUUGCUCAUUUUAACAUGGGUAGGCAUUAUAUUUGUCAAUAUCUUAAUAUCGAGCAUUAGGGGAGUAUUUAAUGUUGACAAAUAUAAUGCCUACCCGUUUUAAAAUGAGCAUAGAUCAUGGCAUGAUAGAAUUAUUUUGAUUCUACUAGGAAUAUUCUGAACUUUUGUAUUUCGAGGAGGACAUAUAAUACACGCUUGAAAUUUUACCAUUUGAAGAACCAAAAACAAUAUAGAAAAUGGUAAUUUUUGAAAUCUCAAGAAGAGAUUUUAUAUGAAUUUAUAGGGUUAAAUAUACUUACCAUGAAAUUACAUUUAUAUUAUAUAGAAUAUGUUUGCUUUCACAACAUGUUCUCAUCGCAAUUAACUAGGUGAUUAAAAAUUACAUCCAUGAGAUGUACUCACCUACGUCAUAGUUCACCUGUGUAACAUACACUAGCUUUAGUUUUAAUUUGUCGUUUAAUUGAAUAAUUUCAAUUAAGUGAACAAAAAACUGAAUUUAUUCCAGGGGUGGUGGUGGAUUGUGGUAAGUAUAUUUAACCCUAUAAAUUCAUAUAAAAUCUCUUCUUGAGAUUUCAAAAAUUACCAUUUUAUAUGAAUUUGGUUAAAUAUACUUACCAUGAAAUUACAUUUAUAUUAUAUAGAAUAUUUACUGAUUAACAAGCAGUAUUUCAUUUGGUGGAGGAUAAAUUCUCUCACACACAUACAAUUUCAACAUAUAAAAAAUUAUGUGAAAUUUUUUAAAAAGUAACUCCAUUAAAUUUUGUAAAUACGGAUAUUAGUAAAAACCGAAAUUACUGAAUUUAUUAUACAAUGAAGCUAUGCUGCAUAACUAUAUGUAUCAAUGGCAAACUUUGCAGAUUGUAUAAAUACAAGUAUGCAAAAUUAAUAGACUUGAUGUAGAGUUGUCUCAAUGGCACUCACAUGUAUAUAUAUACCCCAUCUUUCUAUAUCUGAUGAAUAAAUAAUCUGCAGGUCAGUAUAGAAAUAAUUAUAUUAAAGCUCCUUCAUUAUGAGCUAAAUGUGUUGUAAUAUUUAUGCAACAGUAAAUAAGCAUUUAUUUCUGAAUAGGUUGUUCUUGUUGCUUGUACAAAUCGACAAGAACUAAUCCAACCUUAAUUUCAUUACUUUCCACUUUGAAACUUAAGUUUAUUUGGAAACAUUAUUACCUUUCUUUAACUUUCCAUUGUUUUCUCUAUAUUAAUAUAAUAACAGAUAAUAUAUGAUUGCUGUCGUCUUUUGAUAACCUGAUCAAUAUCACAUCUUUCGAAAUAAAUUCUUUUCUACUUAAUUAAAGAAAUUAAUUAAAGAAUUAUAAUCAAUUAAAAUAUACUUUGUAAAUAGGUGUCCUUAAUACAAUCAAAGUUUAUUAAAGACUCAAACCAAAGUUGUUUCAUGAUUAUGCUAAAUCUGGAUUAAUCUUUAAACUUUUUUAAAGUUAUAGUCCCUGAGAAUUUGCUUCUCUGCUAGAUAUACUACUUUUAAUAUUUUAUAGAUUUAGAAUAAAAUAUUUUCAUCAAGAGAAGUCUUGUACUAUUGUAUAAUGACAAUUCUCUAAACUGACUAAAUUUUAAAAAAUCUGAUAAAAUUUCUAUGAGUGGUAGAACCUUUGAAUACAAUGUCUACCAUUUCAACCAUGACCAAUAUUUUUGUUUUGUAUUGGACUACUCAAGUGUAAAAAUACAGAAAUGGACAAAUCAGUGGAAAAGUUUCAGUAUACAUGUUUCCAUUGAUAUACUGCUUCCACAGAACAUUUGGAUGUUGAGCUGAAUUAAAGCCAUGAUUGUUGUCCUUAUAAGUCCAAAAAGAAUGCUAACAGAUGAUUUUCUCCAGCUAUGAAAAAUCUGUCUAAAAUAAAAUGUUUUGAUAUUUCUAAUUAACAUUUGACAACGGUUAACUUUCUAGAAUAUCUUGCCAUGUACAGUUCCAAAUUUAAAGAAAACAAAAAUUUGACAUAAUGAACAACUCUUGUAUGUUGCUCUUGACAAUUGUUUAUAUUAAUUUCAGAAAUUAUUUCGCUAUCAGAAAUACUAAAAUGCAACUUGUCAAAUAUAGUUCUAUAGUUGUAUUUAAAGAAAAACACUUGUUUGGCAAUAUGGAAAACACUUGUACUAACUUGCAGUAUCCUUAAGUGUUCUUAGUUAUUUCAGAAAUGGUUUCACUAUCAAAAAUGCUCAUUUUAUUUCUGUCUUGGUUCACCUCAUCUGAAUCCUAUACAUUCUGAUAUGAUUCAAUAUAUAUCAACCAAACAGCUUUUGGUAGUAUUUUGUGACUUCAACCCAGUCAUUUGGUUAACUUAGUCACUCAGAAGAAUUUUGCAUUUGUCCCCAGAUUUGGCAAAAACAAAAUUAAUGUGAUUUAAAUAAUCACAUCUUUCAAAACAAUAUUGAAUCAAAAUUCAAAGUAAUUGUUUAAAAUAAACACAUUUCAAUUUUGUGUAGCAUAUUCUUGCAUAAGAUACUAACUGUAUGCUAUAUAUUUAUAUUAUUCUGGCUGGUAAUAUGGAAAUUGAAAAGUGAAUAAUUACCAUCAAUUCCGAGGUUAAAAUCACAUGCAUUCGGAAAACCUUCCUGCAUAUAGAUAAUAUACAACUUGACUUUGACCAGACUAGAUUUUUGUAACUUUAUGCUUAUAAUGAGCAAAAAUAAAAAUAAACAGUGACAUUUUAAUAUUUAGGUAUAAUAUUAAGAAAAUGUCUCGCAUUUGAUUUGAUAUAAUCAUGGAAUUAUCAUACUAUAUUUUACUUCCAUGUACUAUUCUUAGACUAUUGAAAGCUAUUUGCUAACUAUUAAUCAGUCUUUUAAAUAAAUUGCUUUUCCUACAUUUUGCUGUUAGAUUAACUGCUUCUACACUGGUGCUAAAAUUUGAGAACCAAUUGAAAUGUAUAUAUAUUAUAUGUUUAUAUUGGUACAUCAUGUGUUACUCCAAAAAAAAACCUCUUCUUUUUUUUCUGCAUCUCGUAAAGACUGACUAAAUAAAAGGUUUAUAUAAAGAGCUGUAUAAUAGAUAGUUUCAAAUCUUGAGAACUACUUCAAUUUCCUAGACCAUGUCUAGCAUUUUAAAUAAAUCCUGCAUCCACAAUGCUUUAAAUCUUAUUUAUUUAUUUACCAAUAUUUUACUAAUUUUUUUACAAGAUCUAAAUUAAUGAUAAUCUUGUUUCUAUAAAUCAGCAUAUUUGAGUCCUCUAUAUACUUCAGAAUUCUGAAUCAAUAUUUAACUCUAGGAAAAACAAUGUGUAGCCAUUGCAUAAACUGUUGGGUUCUACCAAUCUCACAUUAAGAAUAAAACAGACCCAAUGAAUGAAUCCUUAUAGCAGAAACUUGCCCAUCUGUUGGCAUUGCUUAGAAAACUUAAGAUGUAAAUUAAGGCAUAAUUUUCUAUCUUUAAAAAGAGCAUCCAAACUCCUUUUGCUUUCAUGAUUGGAAGAUAUAUGUAUAAUUUGACAGUGAUUCCCAUAUAGUGAGGGUAAGAUAGUCUCUUAAGUCUUACGUUAUCACCUCUUUUUUUUUGUGUACUCAAAACAAAACAGAAUUAGUACAUAUUAUAUUUAAUAAAUGCAUUGGCAAUGUACACUCUGAAUUAUGUAAUCAAUAUAUAAGCCAUUACCUUGAAUGAGUCUUUGUGAAAUGCAUCAUGGCAUCCCCUAAAUUCUUUAUUCAAUAGACAAUCUAAUGUUUACAUAAAAACAUAUAAAAGCCUUUGUUUCCUUACUGCCGACAAAAACAAACAAUUGGUUAUAGCAGUUCAUACUUAUAAUAUUCAUGUUCUUCUUGUCAUAAGUAAACUGACCAUGAAAUUUAAUAUAAGUAAAAAGAGUUGUCACAAGCUAUCAACUGUAUUUAGAACAGUGCUCCAUUCUUACUGUCUCCAUGUCUGUUAGAGCAUUGGAGAAUUAUUUAUCAGUAAAAAAAAUAAUUAAAUAUUUACAGCAAUUUGCUGUUCUGGAAAAAUAUUUCAGGCUUCUAAGAAUUACUGUCCUGAUUUAAACUGGACAUAUUUAAAAGAAGUAUGUAUUGGUAUGCUUAAACUACAAUCACAUUUGUAUUGUACUAGAUAACAAUGUAUAUCAUUUUCAGUGUCUUUAAUAUCUGUCUUGACUAUUUCCAGACACUUGUUCAAUAUAUUUAUCAAUAUGAGCAAAUAUGUUAAUUGACUAAACUGUUGGUUCAUCACAAAAAAACAAUGUGCAACCAAAUAUUAGCUAUGCUUGUGUUGUUUUUAAAAUAUAAUAAAAGUAGACAUAAUGUUCCCUGGGUGGAAGGAUGUCUAGAAAAGUCAGAUAGACCUGGACUUAAAUUCACUAGUCUGAUUCUAAUUUAUUUUAUUUGCAACAAUCAUCCACGUGCAAUUCUAUGCUCCAUAAAUAUCAAUGUGCAAUAAAUAAAUAGUUAUGAUUUAAUUUUAUGUAAGAUAUCAAAUCUGUAUUUUAUUAGAAUGAAUGCAACUUACAGAUUCUAAAUCAUGCAUGUUGUUCUAGUUCCUAUGUUUCCUGUAUGAAACAUGUCAACAUUAAUCAAAUAGACUUGGGCAAAAUCCCUAUUCUAUUUUAAGUCUAUAGUGAUCCAUUGAGCACGUUUUAUUUUCAAUAAAUAUGGUUUAUGUUCCCUGAAUGGAAGGUUAACCAAAAAACAUCAUCAGUUGUGGGCAAAAUCCCUAUUCUGAUUGUGAUGUAUUUAUCAACUGUUAAAACAGUAUCACUGUUGGUCUACGCUCCCUGUAUGGAACGUUUUCCAAAUAAAACAAUCAGAAAUGGGCAGAUUCCCUUUUCUGAUUGAAAUUUAUUGAACCAAUUGAGGUUCUAGUCACAAUAGUGGUAUACGCUCCCAUACGGACGUUAUCCACAUUAAAAUAAUCAGAUCUGGUCAAAAUACCUAUUCUGAUUUAAUAGUUAUGUGUUUACACAGUCUCGUGUACCAGGUGUACACGUAACAGACUGCAAAUUGUAAACAAUCGAACCAAUUGAGGUUCUAGUGACAAUAGUGGUAUACGCUCCCAUACGGACGUUUUCCACAUGAAAAACAAUCAGAUCUGGUCAAAAUACCUAUUCUGAUUUUAAUAUAGUGAUGUGUUUACACAGUCUCGUGUACAGACUGCAAAUUGUAAACAAUCGACUGUAUCCAAACUUUACACUCGACCCGUUUCGUAGCAUUGCUCUAAUGCAGUGAAAAAUCCGGUCAGCUGAGCGUGAAAAAAGAAAUAAACAUCCGUUUAAAAAUAUAUCUUUUUAAAAACGUAGCACUCACGUAACAUGUCCGAUUUUGACAGCUAAAUUCUGCCUUUCCUCGGACCCGAUUUAAUGUUUGAAAAUGGCGGUCAAACAAAGGUCAUUUUCUAUGUCGUCGUAUUUCCAGACUCGUAAGCUGUAAAAAUGACGAAAACGUGCAUAUCAGAAACUUGGCAGAAGCGCUGUAUUCUGAUUCACAUUAAAUUAAUCGUAUACCGAUAUUCCGAAAACAAAUAAUGUCUUUUAUAAAACAUAAGGAUUUUCAACAGUAAACUGUUAAAAAUCCUUGCCGACGAGAAACAUGCGUUCUCUUGAACGCAAAAAUUAAAACUAAAGCUAGUGUAUGUUACACAGGUGAACUAUGACGUAGGUGAGUACAUCUCAUGGAUGUAAUUUUUAAUCACCUAGUUAAUUGCGAUGAGAACAUGUUGUGAAAGCAAACAUAUUCUAUAUAAUAUAAAUGUAAUUUCAUGGUAAGUAUAUUUAACCAAAUUCAUAUAAAAUCCGGUUAAUGAAUUACAAAGUGGUGAUACAUUAAUUUUUAUAUACCUGUAACAGACUAUUAUUUGAACUUGGAAUUAUUUCUAAUCAUGGAUUUUGCAUAAUUUCUUGUGCUUGAAAUUUUUGAUAAAUUCCAUGUUUAUUUGGUAUUAUAAUGUUUUGAGCAGUUCAUAACACUUUCCAUAAAAUGUAUUUUGUAGAUAGUUAUGUGCACAGCACAGUACGUUCUAUUGAAAAUGUACUAUCCUUUUUGUAAUAGCAAGUGUUGUGCACAGCACAGUGCGUUCUAUUGAAAAUGUACUAUACUUUUUGUAAAAGCGCAGCACAGUACGUUCUAUUGAAAAUGUACUAUCCUUUUUGUAAUAGCAAGUGUUGUGCACAGCACAGUACGUUCUAUUGAAAAUGUACUAUACUUUUUGUAAUAGCGCAGCACAGUACGUUCUAUUGAAAAUGUACUAUCCUUUUUGUAAUAGCAAGUGUUGUGCACAGCACAGUGCGUUCUAUUGAAAAUGUACUAUACUUUUUGUAAUAGCGCAGCACAGUACGUUCUAUUGAAAAUGUACUAUACUUUUUGUAAUAGCGCAGCACAGUACGUUCUAUUGAAAAUGUACUAUACUUUUUGUAAUAGCGCAGCACAGUACGUUCUAUUGAAAAUGUACUAUCCUUUUUGUAAUAGCAAGUGUUGUGCACAGCACAGUAAGUUCAAUUAAAAUGUACUAUCCUUUUUGUAAUAGCACAGCACAGUACGUUCUAUUGAAAAUGUACUAUCCUUUUUGUAAUAGCAAGUGUUGUGCACAAAACAGAACAUUAAAGUACAGAAUAAACAUGGAAUUCAUUAAAAAAUUCAAGCACAAGAAAUUAUGCAAAUAAUUAAAAAUAAUUUCAAGUUGCAAUAAUAGCCUGUUCUGUCCUAAACCUGGUCUAUUGGUGUGGUUAAUAGUUGUUUCACAGUUUUUAUAUAGAUUAGAACUUUGGUUUUCCGGGUUUGCAUUGUUUUACACUAGUCAUUUUAGGGCCCUUUAUAGCUUGCUGUGUACGUGGUGCAAUCCAAAACUCUGUGUUGAAGGCCUUGACUAAUAAUUAUUGACUUUUCAUACAUUGUGACUUGGAUGGGGAGUUGUCUCAUUGGAAUGCAUACCACAUCUUAUUUAUCAAUGUCUAUAUGGUAGUUUGUUUUAUUUUGGCUUUGCUGCAUGAAAUAUAAAAAUUUGUAAGGGUUCUGUGGAACCCAGUGUCUCGUCUACAUUUGCUGUUAAUAGCUGACUCAACAAAAAUGAGGGGGGGAAAAUCAAUAAAAAUAUUCCUCUCUAUACUAUCUUUUGACUGUAAGAUGACUGUCCAAGUUUGGUAAAAGACCAGGAUAGUUUAUGAAUCUAAUGAAUGUUUAAAAACUAUAACUGCAGACUGUAUGUAAUAAUAACUCGAAGAUAAAGUAAGUAAAAUACCAAUAAACGGGUUUAUUGCUAUUUUGUGCAUUUUUCCUUUGAUCUUUUUUUGUGAUAAUUUUCAUAUCAUGCUUCUCGAUUGAGAUGGAAAAAUUAUCGCUAGAAACUAAGGACACGUGGCGUUGCUAAUGAAAUUGACAUGAAAUUGACAACGUCGUCAUAGGUAAAAUAGCGAUAAACAGAUUAUCAUUGGUCAUCUCAACUUGAUUGCUUUUCUCACUUUCGCUGUACCAGCUGAAGCGAGAAAAUCAAUCUCGUUGAGAUGAUCAACGAUAAUCUAUAAACAUAUACUAUAUACUAGCUUUUGACCAUAAACAAGGAUCAGUCCAAGUUUGGUACAAAUCCAGGAUAGAAUAAAAAAGUUAUUAAAUUUUUUUUUUAAACUUUAGCCAAAGAGUGAAUGUAUUGUAUCAUGGAAAAAAAACUUAACUUAGUUGGUCUAUGGUGGAUAGUUGUCUCAUUGGCAAUUAUACCACAUCUUCUUUUUUAUAUUAAGUCCAUUUAUAAGUAAAAUACAGAAAAAAAUAGAUUUGUUUUUUCCAUAAUUAUUACUGGAUACUAUCUUAUAAUCAUAAACAAGCUUCUGUCCAAGUUUCAAAUUGGUACAAAUCCAGGAUAGUUUAAGAAAGUUAUUAAAAUUUCAAAAACUUUAACCACAGAGUGAAUAUUAGUGGACACCCCGCCCCCACCAACGCCGAAAGAAUGUAGAAUUGCUAUGUCUCGCUUUUUUUUUUACUUAAGUCAUAGGGUACACAAAAAGUACACAUAAGUGUGUGAUAAUUGUGCCUUGAAAAUAUUUUAGCUUCAACACUAUACAUGUAUUACUGUUAAUUCAGAAAUUAUUGCUAUGUUUUUAUUAUUGCAAAAACUACAACAGGGUUAUAAUCCCAAUAAUUAAAACUCGCAUUUUGAAUUUUUUUUAUUGCAAUUAUGAGAGCUCACUAUCUAAUAAAUGAAACACGAACCUGUAUGCAGAUUCUUUUGGAAUCCCUAUUAUUUAACCCACAUUUUUGUCUAUCCUUGAAAAAUCCCAAUAAUAAAUGAACACUUUAAUUUCUGAAUUUACAGUAUAUAAAAUCUAAACAGAAAAAUUGUUAAUUUUGGGCCAAAAUAAAAAGAUUGUAUGUUUGCCCAAACGCGACCGACCCAAAAUAAACCCGCCGACUCAAAUUCUUUUUUUGACGUUUUUUAGAAGAAUUUUUUUUUUUUGCGGAUUUUUUUCAUGUCUGCUCCGUCAUCGUAUAAAACUUAAAGUUUGUCGUCUUUGCGUUUGAAAGUAACUAUGAAUAAGAUUAAAAGAAAGCGCAUAAGAGAUGCAGUUAAUCGAUAUUUGAUGUUCUCUGUUUUUAUGUUCUGACUUAACGAACGUAAAGAAGUGAAACAUGUGAAGUGGCACAGUUUUUUUUACGCUCUAGUUGUCUGUCAUGUCUGUACUACCAAACCCUUACCUAUAUGCUCAAUGUUAAUUUUAUCGUGUAAACGAAUAUCUGAUAAGAAUAUAAGAAUAUUCAGGUAGAUUUGUUCAAAACCAUGUGCAAUCGAAUAUUUUCAAUGUUAUUCUGACAGGAAAUGGAUCCGGAAGUUGCGAAUAUACAAUCUUGCAAGAAGAUUUUGUUUUUACUGAAUAAAAAGGAAUUAUUUCUUGAUAAAUUGUUGUCUUUAACUAUAAUCUUCCUUUAUCAUGUGAAUUAGAUGCCUUUUUUUCAAAUAGUUCAAAUUUACAAGUCUUAGUUGACAAGAUCAGUACGUUGCUGUUUGGGAGAAUUUGAUAAAACUAUAAUUGCUCACAGAAUCAGAAUAUAAUCUUAACUGAAUGUAACUCCUUCUGAAUAAUUUAUUGCAAUAUAAAUAUAAAUCCCCUUUGACAAGAGAAAUCUGGCUUUUGUCAGAAAUAUUUUUUUCACAUGUGCAAAAGUAAACACAUGUUAUGGUGGGAUUUUUAUACAAAUUUGUGAGGAAGUCUCUGGAACCUGAUGACCUAAAAAUAAAAUAGUCUUCAGAAAACGUUAUUAUGCAAUUAUACUUUAUCAAUAAUGAUUAUUUUCAAAAAUUUGAACUUGAUUAUUUAAAGAAAUAAAAUUAUAACAAAUAUGUUUUUAGUUUGGAGAUUCUACAGAACAUGCUUUGAUCUAUUUAUAGCCAAAUUAGUUUACCUGUGUGAUAAUGUUAAGAAUUGAAUGCUUCUUUUUGUAAAUUUAUUUGGGUGUAUAAGUGUUGACCGAAGUACAUUUUGUAUGAAGCGCAGAAGCGCUUCAUUCUAAAAAUGUACCACGGUCAAUGCUUUUACAACCCUAUAAAGUUACAAAAAGAAGCAUUCGAUACUUAUAAUUACAUUUUUUAGCUAUGAUCAUGAAAACACGAAUUUUAUAUAUUUUAUUAUUUAAUUCACCUGUGCACUUUAUUGUUGGAGCACAUGUUAUCAUGAGUGAAAAGUUGUAUUGAGCAAUGCAACUGCUUAUAGAAUAACACGUAAUGUGCAGUUAAACAAUCAGAAUAAAAUAUUAUAAUGAAACAUAGAUCUUAUUAAAAUAUAAAUUUUCAAAAAAAAAAAAAAGACAAACUAUGGAUGGUAGAUAAUAAUUCAUUUAAAAUAUUUUAGGACAUUUAAUCUAUUUUAAUAGAUAUAGGGUUUAAAAACUGCAAACAAAUUAAAUCAAUACAUAGUCAGCUGAUAUUUUUUUUUACACAAACAUCGUGUUGAUGUAACUGUUGAAAAUCACUUCAUAAAUCCACCAGCCCUUUCACACAUGUAGCAAUUGUCAGGGUUAUAAACAUCUCAGGAUACAAAUCAUAAAGUAGACUAAUUUAUGUAUAGAGGUUUUAAAUUCAUGGCUUUAGGUUGACUCUACAAAGGUUUUGACAAAAAAAACAGAUGUACUGUUUUAAGAUCUUUAAAAAUUUUCAUGCAAAUUCUGAAAGAUAAAAACUAGAGGCUCUAAAGAGCCUGUGUCGCUCACCUUGGUCUAUGUGAAUAUUAAACAAAGGAAGCAGAUGGAUUCAUGACAAAAUUGUGUUUUGGUGAUGGUGAUGUGUUUGUACAUCUUACUUUACUGAACAUUCUUGCUACUUACAAUUAUCUCUAUCUAUAAUGAACUUGGCCCAGUAGUUUCAGUGGAAAAUGUUAGUUAAAAUUUACAAAUUUUAUGAAAAUUGUUAAAAAUUGACUAUAAAGGACAAUAACUCCUUAAGGGUCAAUUGACCAUUUCCGUCAUGUUGACUUAUUUGUAAAUCUUACUUUGCUUAACAUUAUUGAUGUUUACAGUUUAUCUCUAUCUAUAAUAAUAUUCAAGAUAAUAACCAAAAACAGCAAAAUUUCCUUAAAAUUACCAAUUCAGGGGCAGCAACCCAACAACAGGUUGUCAGAUUCAUCUGAAAAUUUCAGGGCAGAUAGAUGUUGACCUGAUAAACAAUUUUAUCCCAUGUCAGAUUUGCUCUAAAGGCUGCGGUUUCAGAGUUUUAAGCCAAAAUCUACAUUUCACCCCUAUGUUCUAUUUUUAGCAAUGGCGGCCAUCUUGGUUGGUUAGCCAGGUCACGGGACACAAUUUUUAAACUAGAUACCCCAAUGAUGAUUGAGGCUAAGUUUGGUUUAAUUUGGCCAAGUAGUUUCAGAGGAGAAGAUUUUUGUAAAAGAUAACUAAGAUUUACGAAAAAUGGUUAAAAAUUGACUAUAAAGGGCAAUAACUCCUAAAGAAAUCAACAGACCAUUUGGUCUUGUUGACUUGUUUGUAGAUCUUACUUUGCUGAACAUUUUUUGCUGUUUACAGUUUAUCUCUAUCUAUAAUAAUAUUCAAGAUAAUAACCAAA